AAAUGAAUUGACGGGGACCCGCACAACCAGUGGAGCGUGUGGUUUAAUUCGAGACGAAGCGAAAAACCUCACCAAGGCUUGACAUGCUAGAGUUCUAAUCGCCCCAAAAGGUGAUGAUCCGUAAGGAGACUAGCACAGGUGCUGCAUGGCUGUCGUCAGCUCGUGCCGUGAGGUGUUCCCUUAAGUGGGGAAACGAGUGCAACCCUUGUCUAAUGUUAAAUAUUCAUUAGAGACUGCCUGACUUUUGUCAGGAGGAAGGAAAGGCGGACGUCAAGUCAGCAUGGCCCUUAUGCCUUGGGCUACACACACCCUACAAUGGCGAAUAACAAUGGGUUGCGAGCUCGUAAGAGCAAGCUAAUCUCAGAAAUUUCGCCUCAGUUCAGAUAGAGGUCUGAAACUCGACCUCUUGAAGUUGGAAUUGGUAGUAAUCGCGGAUCAGCGGGCCGCGGUGAAUACGUUAUCGGGUCUUGUACACACCGCCCGU
Molecule: ribosomal RNA, 484 nt
Filed under: uncultured bacterium
Lineage: Bacteria
Description: bacterial SSU rRNA
Rfam family: Bacterial small subunit ribosomal RNA
Source: RNAcentral